ACAUAUAUAGUUGCAAGUUUUCCACAUUUGACAUAAAGUGGUACAAUAUCAUCUCUAAGUAGAUUGUGAAAAAGUAAGAUUAUGUACUUUA
This is a non-coding RNA of Ceratotherium simum simum (southern white rhinoceros), 91 nucleotides long. The record is from RefSeq and is a predicted model, not a curated record. NCBI's taxonomy places the organism in Eukaryota, Metazoa, Chordata, Mammalia, Perissodactyla, Rhinocerotidae.